RNAcentral lists this ribosomal RNA (445 nucleotides) under uncultured soil bacterium. Its description in RNAcentral is "bacterial SSU rRNA". It matches the Rfam family "Bacterial small subunit ribosomal RNA", at positions 26 to 522 of the family's 1533-position model. The record is from RNAcentral.
AGAACGAACGCUGGCGGCAUGCCUAAUACAUGCAAGUCGAACGAACACUUCGGUGUUAGUGGCGCACGGGUGCGUAACGCGUGGGAAUCUGCCCUUGGGUUCGGAAUAACAGUUGGAAACGACUGCUAAUACCGGAUGAUAUCGAAAGAUCAAAGAUUUAUCGCCCAGGGAUGAGCCCGCGUAGGAUUAGCUAGUUGGUGAGGUAAAGGCUCACCAAGGCGACGAUCCUUAGCUGGUCUGAGAGGAUGAUCAGCCACACUGGGACUGAGACACGGCCCAGACUCCUACGGGAGCAGCAGUAGGGAAUAUGGACAAGUGGCGCAAGCCUGAUCCAGCAAUGCCGCGUGAGUGAUGAAGCUUAGGGUUGUAAGCUCUUUACCCGAGAUGAUAAUGACAGUAGUGGAGAAGUAACGCCCCGGACUAACCUCCGCGCCAGCACGCCGAC